GAGUGAGAGCUUGACUCUUUGAAAAGGAGACAGAUGGUUUGAAUUUACCGGCAUGAAUAUUACAAGCUUCAGGUGUCCCCAGAUGUUGUAAAAAGCAACAUUAGAAAUUGGUCACAAAUAAUAUGUCCAAAGGUAUCCAGGAAAACAAUGGCUUUUGCCUCUGCUACAGGUAGUCCUUAAUUACAUUUUACAGACACAGAAAUUCAGCACAAACUGGUCAAAACAGCUGUGGGGAAGUUUCUGCUUUGAAGGAAAUAUUACUGGUGCUCAAAGAUGUCAUCAACAGAUAUUAAAGAAGAUACAUCAGAAAAUAGGCCAAGGUGCAGUGCUCUUCAGGGGCUACAAAAGCUUUAGCUCUAUGCCCUGGUGUCAAGAGGAUUAAAUGUGAAUUUGAAAGUAAAGAAUGGAUGGGGAGUCAGUGGCUUUGAGCCAAGAUCCUCUUCAGCUGUGCAUUAAAAGAUGCUAUGGUGGAUCACAGAGAUGUUCUUCAGAGGUGGGCUUGCUGGAGCUUCAAGGCCAUGUGCCAAGAAGGGAUGAAUGCUGGGAGACAAAUUUGAAAGCUCAUCACAACUAUGAGAUGGAAAAGCAGUCUCUGCGACAUAUUGAUAGCUGCGGAUGACAGAAAUGAUGUUUAUUGCCAUGGACAGUAAAACUUAUAUAUAUUAAAAGAAUGCAAACUUUGGAGAACGAUGGGAAACACUGACAGGAAACGCCUCAGAACAAAUUUCUGCAAGAAAAACUGGCCGGAGGAAGUAGUUUCAGCAAAAAUGUUUUAUUCUGAUCUGGAGGCCAGAUGAUACAGUAACAAGAAAAGUCAACUUCUGACAUAUCAUUUCACCCACUAAAAGUCACCUUAACUUUGGUGUGUAAAAUAAAAUUUCUUCCCUGAAUAACUUUGUAAUUAAAAAUGUUGAUGUCUUUUUUAGAGAAGAGAACUAUUUAACUGAAAACUUUACUCCAGGUAACGCAUACUGGAAUCUCCUUGAAUGGGUAAAAUAUUGCUUUGUUUUCUUGAGCAAGUAAAAUUUGUAUAUUGCUUCUCUCCUCUCCAACACAAAUUUCAGUAGAACACCACUGAUACACUAGUUUCAUACUAGUUUGGAAACUGGAACACUAGUUUUAUACGGUAGAAGAUUUAAAUUGAUGAAGUUUUUUCAAUUGUGGCUUCCCCUUCAGUUUUUCCAGCCCAGCCAUUGCUGUCUGAUACUGCUGCUUGAAUACUGCAAAGCAAAACUGAAUUAUAAAAUAGAAAAACAAGGCAGACUGCUUUGGUAGGCAAAACUGGGUAAACUGGUAAACAUAACAAAUACUACAGCUUAGAAAUUUUGGGAAGCAGGAAUGGAAGAGGUAGGAUCUCUUUUCAUCUGUCACCCAAAUUUAAGUCCAGAGUUGUAUAAUUCUGUUUAAAAAAAAGCCCAUACAAUCUGCUCAUUCCUAUACUGAAAGAGCUCCGAGAUCAUUGGUGCAUGCAUUUUGCCUUGGCUCUAUCAGGGAGAGGUGAGGAAGUGUUUGGUUCUGGUUUUAAUUUUCUUUGGUAUAGCUGUCAGGGAAGCUGCAGGAAUGUGUGUUAACCAACUAAAUUAGCACUGGGUUAAAAAUU
Pezoporus occidentalis (night parrot) is the source of this 1600-nucleotide long non-coding RNA. RefSeq lists it as uncharacterized. NCBI's taxonomy places the organism in Eukaryota, Metazoa, Chordata, Aves, Psittaciformes, Psittacidae. The transcript is spliced from 5 exons. The record is from RefSeq and is a predicted model, not a curated record.